This 79-nucleotide transfer RNA is filed under the name Candidatus Bathyarchaeota archaeon. RNAcentral describes it as "tRNA-Gly". It matches the Rfam family "tRNA". Rfam says of the family: Transfer RNA (tRNA) molecules are approximately 80 nucleotides in length. Their secondary structure includes four short double-helical elements and three loops (D, anti-codon, and T loops). RNAcentral also lists the same sequence under 10 other names. The record is from RNAcentral. Lineage: Archaea; Thermoproteati; Candidatus Bathyarchaeota.
GCGGUUGUCGUCUAGUCUGGUUUAGGACUUUAGCCUUCCAAGCUAAUGAUCCCGGGUUCAAAUCCCGGCGACCGCACCA